RNAcentral lists this ribosomal RNA (269 nucleotides) under uncultured bacterium. RNAcentral's name for it is "partial 16S ribosomal RNA". It matches the Rfam family "Bacterial small subunit ribosomal RNA", at positions 87 to 354 of the family's 1533-position model. The record is from RNAcentral.
UUAUUUUAGCGGCGGACGGGUGAGUAACGUGUGGGUAACCUGCCUUUUACUGUGGAAUAAUCGUUGGAAACGACGACUAAUACCGCAUACGGUUCUUGGAAGGCAUCUUCUAAGAAAGAAAGGAGUAAUUCGGUAAAAGAUGGGCCCGCAUCUGAUUAGCUAGUUGGUGAGAUAAUAGCCCACCAAGGCAACGAUCAGUAGCCGACCUGAGAGGGUGACCGGCCACAUUGGGACUGAGACACGGCCCAAACUCCUACGGAAGGCAGCAG